AGAAGGCAGCGCACCACAGAACACUGGCUCCUUUCUACAGAAAAAGGAAACCAAGCAACGUUCCUUCAGCAAGUAAUGCAAGAAUGGACUUUGAACUGGAUGCAGCAGCUGGAUAGAGCUUUGUGCUGUCUCCCUUGAGGCAAGAAUGAGUGUGUUUUAUGUAAAGGAAGAGUUGGCGUUUGGUGAACAAGAAGAGCCGACUAUGUAAGAGACUGCUUUGUGUCUGCCAAAAUCGUCCUUUUCUUUGAGGGCCCACAGGCAACAAGAAGCCAGUGAAGACUACGAAUGAAAAAUGAUUUGAUCAUAUUUUCCAUUUAUAAGUUCUGCGGCCAGUUCAUAGGACUCCAGGGACCUUGAGACUGAAGCACAUUCUACAAAUAAAGUCAAAUGCAGUUAACAAGAAGAUAGCUGCUGGCAACAAUAUUCCAAUUCAGAAGUGGACAUGAAGACAAACAGGAUUCUCUGAUGAAUGACCCCAGUGGGUAAUUAGCAAUUUAUUGAAAACAGAUAGCAGGUGCCCUAGACUCCCCAGUCAGCAAGGAGGCUAUGUCCAAACUCAGCUUCUCACAGAUCUCUAGUUAGUGGGCGGGUGUCUUUCCCAGAACUCCCCUUUAAACAGCGGGCACCUGAGCUCAGGCUUCCAGGCGCUUAAGCUCAAAUGCUUACUCACUCCAUUCCAGGCUGCUGUCAGGCUUACUCUAUAAAAAAGGGACAGCCACAGAAAAGUCUCUUCUGGAACCCAGAUCCUCAGUGUAACUAGAAGUGUUCCAGCCUAAGCAUUUCUUUUUUGCAGGAAGUCAAAAGAACAGAGACCCAUGCAGCCACUGGCUCUUCUGCCUGUUAAUUCCAAUCUGUCUCAAAUAAUGCUAUUCACCCAGAGUCUUUGCAUAACAAUGAGGAAAAGGAGACAGAAGGGCACAACACCGCCAUCAUCUAUUCACUGAGUAAGUAGAGUCACUGUGGAUGGCAUCUGCCUUAUUUACGAAGAAACCGAUACACAAAGACACCAGCCACAGACCUAGCCUUUUAUUUGCCACCCCUUUUAUGCCCACAACAUAGUAGUGCCUGCAGAAUUGUUAACUAAAGUGUUUCUCUAAUGAGGGAGUGAGUGAGCACUCUUAUAUGAUGACUUUCAAUAACCAAAAGGAAACAAAUUUAGUACAAGGGUGCUUUGGUUAAACGACAUAGGAAAUGGAUUCUGGUACUCGCCCACAAUAAAUUAUAAAUUGG
Rhinopithecus roxellana (golden snub-nosed monkey) is the source of this 1230-nucleotide long non-coding RNA. RefSeq lists it as uncharacterized. The transcript has 5 exons. NCBI's taxonomy places the organism in Eukaryota, Metazoa, Chordata, Mammalia, Primates, Cercopithecidae. The record is from RefSeq and is a predicted model, not a curated record.